GCGCUGACUUGGGCAGCUCAUCUACUAAAAUCAGAGGGACACAGAGAUUAGUGCGGUCCCCGUGCAAGGAUGACGUGCAAAUUUGUGAAGCGUUUCAUAUUUCU
This 104-nucleotide small nuclear RNA is filed under the name Microcebus murinus (gray mouse lemur). Lineage: Eukaryota; Metazoa; Chordata; Mammalia; Primates; Cheirogaleidae. The record is from RNAcentral.